GCUCCCUAACCCAGCAACCAAACAAAGCGGAUUAGGCGUUUUGACCAAGCGUGUGUGCCUUAAUCCACAUGCUUAACCUUAAUUAAUUGAUUAAAUUACAAAUAUUCUAGCCCAAACCUCACUAUCACACUCAUCCUUUCCUACUUGGAUUCCAUUCUCAUCUCUCUCUCUCUUUCACUGUUUCUUCCUCCUCUGCACUUGGCGCAGCACAAAGUCGAUUCCUUUCCGCCUCAGCGGCGCCGCUUGUUUCGAUCGAAGCAUCGCGAGAGGCAGCCCGCCGCCUGGGUUUCGUGCCGAUUUUGAUUUCCUUUUUCUUGGCCGCCUCUGCCUCUCUCUCUCUCUCUCUCUCUCCCUUUCUUGGUUCGAUUGUUCCUGGUUCUUGGCCUGAUUGGUUGAACCUGCUUCUUCUGGAAUCAAUUAGGGGAGAAAUAUUUGCAGGAGAGGGGCGGUGGCGAUGGCGGAGUUGGUUGGGCCGCGGGUGUACAGCUGCUGCCAUUGCCGGAACCACGUCUGCCUCCACGACGACAUCAUCUCCAAGGCCUUUCAGGGGAGGAACGGCCGUGCGUUUCUUUUCUCUCAUGCUAUGAACAUAUCUAUGGGUCCAAAGGAGGACAGGCAGCUUAUGACAGGGCUUCACACAGUUGCUGAUAUCUACUGCCGUGAUUGCCGUGAGGUAUUGGGUUGGAAGUAUGAAAGAGCAUUUGAAGAAUCCCAGAAGUACAAGGAAGGAAAAUUCAUAUUUGAGAAGGCAAAGAUUGUUAAAGAAAAUUGGUAAUGACUGGAAAGGGUUGGCGUGCCAAACUUUCCUGUGAAGCUAAAAUUCAUACCUUUGUACAUAGCUGUCGUCUGUAAAUUCGAAUGUUUAGCCUGCAUGAUGUUGCUCAUGCCAUUUGUAAUGUGCACUUGUUUUGCUGUUCAUUUCUGUGAAGAAGACAGGCCUCUGUUUAUUUCUUUGUCAACCAUUUUCUCAUUGUUCAUAAAUGGAUAGCUUGUACAUAAUUAUUUUCCUGUCUAAAUGUUGAAUGUUUGUCAUCAAAGUAAUUCCUUGUGAGUUACAAUGACAUCUAUUAUUAGCUCAUGACACUUAAUGGAUAUGAAAAGAGCAGUAAAAGGUAAAUAUAUUUGCCCAGACUCAUCUACUAGAUCAUAUAUUUUAGAAUUUACAUAGAGAUUAUUGUGCACUAGAGCUUUGAUAUUCUUUUCUUUUCUUGUUGGCAUGGUUCAUAUCUUCUUUGCUAGCAUUCAUGUUUUGCACAUUCGUUUCUUCGGGAUGCUGCCUCUUAUUUCUCUCCUCUAAGUGCAUGUCCAUACCACACUUUUGGAUAUCUAUCCUAGGAUGACCAGGAUGAAACUUCACAAUUGUGUGGAUUGCAUCUUCAGCAUCCUUGAUGUCUAGAGCACUUGCACCGGCACACAAUAAUUGGAUGUAAAUUUUCUUGAGUGAUCUAAGGUGCUCAAUACCAAAUUGGUAACCAUAUGAUUUUGCCUCCUUUACAUGAACUGCCAUCUGUAGCCUCUCAAGUUUUGGCAAAGCUGCUGGUUCAAAUAUCAAAGAGGUUCCUUCACAACUGAAGAUUAACUCUUGUAAGUAUGGGAAGCCUACUCCAUGAAUAACUAUCUUGUCCUCCUUCUGAGGUGAUUUCAACCAUAAGUCGAGAUGAAGUAGAGACGGCAAAUCCUGAAGGAUCUGAAUGUCUUCAUUUGAUAGUUUUUCAAUGUUAAUGUUUAAAUGAAUGAGAUUGCAGAGUGAUGCCAUCCACCUUGGAACUCUUGGGAGAAAGUAGUAUGCAGACAGCCGAAAUCUCUGAAGAUGAUUUGGUGGUGGCGACCAGGAAUCUAAGAACUCCAGGGAACCGAAGUUGCGACUGCAAAUCGCGAAAGAUUGGAGGUUACUUGUGCCAAGUUUGCCAAGAGUAUUCAUCAUAGCCUCUUGGCGCUUCAUAUCGCCGGAGCUGAAAUCAGUCCAGUUGAUUGUAAGCUCCCUUAAACCUUUCAGAGUACCAAGUUCUUGCACUGCAUUGGUCGAGCUACAACAAAUAUUGAAUCCAGAUAUGACUCUUAGGGAUGCCAUGCUCCCUAUACCAUCAGGUCUCCUAUUUCUGGUGGGAGUUUUGAAAUCCAUGUUCUACAAAGGCUCAAAUACUUCAAGUGAAACAAAAUGCUGAUAUCUUUCAGAUGAUUGUCACACAAGCCUAGGCAUCCCUCAAGAUUUAAUACUCUCAAGACCCGAAAAUCGGACAAUGGAGGUAACUGGCAAGCUUGUACAUAUAAACUUAGGGAUCUAGCAUGAAGCAGAUUCAUUCCUCCUUUUGUUUUGGUAAUCUCUUUAUCACAUUGGAUAGAUAAUCGGCGAGUGAUUCCUUGCGGUUUAGCUGCAACAGGAUGACCACCUAACAAAGUGACAAAAUUCUCUUCAAUUGCCUUCGAUAUUAUAAGCUCAAGCAUCAUGUCAUGCACCCGACAAGCAUGAGCUUUACCAUCACAAUUUAUAUCCAUUGGUUGGACCAUACUUCUGUUGAUGAGCUCAUUGAAGUAACUCUCUGCUACAUCCUCCACAGACUGGCCUCUUUCUUCGCCGAUGAAUCCUUCCGCAAUCCAUUGCUGGAUCAGGCUAUCCCUCUCAAUCUUGAAGUCCUCAGGAUACAAACUGAGGUAUAGCAAACAUGUCUUCAGGUAGUAAGGGAGGUCAUAGUAACUGAGGGAAAGUAUUUGUUUCAUUCCUUCAAGAUCAGAGUUCUUCUCUAAUGCAGAACCUAUAGAUAUAAGCACCUUUUCCCACUGCUCCUUCAACAUGACAGGCUUGCUAGCUAACAGGCUAGCUAUGCUGAUUAUUGCCAAUGGUGAACCACAACAUUUUUUCAAGAUCUGGUCUGAAACUUCCUUCAACUGUGGUGGGCAUACAUCCUCAUAGCCAAAAAUUCUCUUGAAAAACAAGUUUCUGGAAUCUGAUGCUUUGAGUGGUUCAAUUCUGUAGAUGAGAUCAUCAGGGUGAGAACAACAUGACUUUGCUACUGAGUCAAUUCUUGUAGUUGUUAGCAGCCUGCUGCAAUGAUUGUUCUCAGGUAGAGCACAUCUCACUUUCUCCCAUGCUGAUUUACUCCAAACAUCAUCAAUUAUGAUGAAGUACCUAUGGAACAAUUCAGCCACUGGUUAGAAAAGUCAGUGCAUUAAGAUCAAUACUCUUUAGAGAAGUUCCAAAGACAUCUUCCCUCUAUUUUGUAAAUACUUGUUGUUUUGAACAAGGACAUCGUCCAAAAAAAACAAAUUUGACCACUAUUUUAUAUUA
Molecule: non-coding RNA, 3286 nt
Organism: Oryza sativa Japonica Group (Japanese rice)
Lineage: Eukaryota; Viridiplantae; Streptophyta; Magnoliopsida; Poales; Poaceae
Source: RefSeq, a predicted model, not a curated record